AUUGCCUCAGUAACGGCGAGUGAAGCGGCAACAGCUCAAAUUUGAAAUCUGGCCCUAGGCCCGAGUUGUAAUUUGCAGAGGAUGCUUUUGGUGAGGUGCCUUCCGAGUUCCCUGGAACGGGACGCCAUAGAGGGUGAGAGCCCCGUCUGGUUGGAUACCGAGCCUCUGUAAAGCUCCUUCGACGAGUCGAGUAGUUUGGGAAUGCUGCUCAAAAUGGGAGGUACAUGUCUUCUAAAGCUAAAUACCGGCCAGAGACCGAUAGCGCACAAGUAGAGUGAUCGAAAGAUGAAAAGCACUUUGAAAAGAGAGUUAAACAGCACGUGAAAUUGUUAAAAGGGAAGCGUUUAUGACCAGACUUGGGCCGGUUGAUCAUCCAGUGUUCUCACUGGUGCACUCUGCCGGCCUAGGCCAGCAUCAGUUCGCUGCGGGGGAUAAAGGCGUCGGGAAUGUGGCUCCUCGGAGUGUUAUAGCCCUUCGUGUAAUACCCUGUGGUGGACUGAGGUUCGCGCUCUGCAAGGAUGCUGGCGUAAUGGUCAUCAACGACCCGUCUUGAAACACGGACCAAGGAGUCGUCUUCGUAUGCGAGUGUUCGGGUGUCAAACCCCUACGCGUAAUGAAAGUGAACGCAGGUGAGAGCUUCGGCGCAUCAUCGACCGAUCCUGAUGUUCUCGGAUGGAUUUGAGUAAGAGCAUACGGGGCCGGACCCGAAAGAAGGUGAACUAUGCCUGUAUAGGGUGAAGCCAGAGGAAACUCUGGUGGAGGCUCGCAGCGGUUCUGACGUGCAAAUCGAUCGUCAAAUAUGGGCAUGGGGGCGAAAGACUAA
Molecule: ribosomal RNA, 823 nt
Filed under: Memnoniella alishanensis
Lineage: Eukaryota; Fungi; Ascomycota; Sordariomycetes; Hypocreales; Stachybotryaceae
Description: partial large subunit ribosomal RNA
Rfam family: Eukaryotic large subunit ribosomal RNA
Source: RNAcentral